Molecule: ribosomal RNA, 460 nt
Filed under: uncultured bacterium
Lineage: Bacteria
Description: partial 16S ribosomal RNA
Rfam family: Bacterial small subunit ribosomal RNA
Source: RNAcentral
CCUACGGGAGGCUGCAGUGAGGAAUAUUGGUCAAUGGGCGCGAGCCUGAACCAGCCAAGUAGCGUGAAGGAUGACUGCCCUACGGGUUGUAAACUUCUUUUAUAAAGGAAUAAAGUGAGGCACGUGUGCCUUUUUGUAUGUACUUUAUGAAUAAGGCUCGGCUAACUCCGUGCCAGCAGCCGCGGUAAUACGGAGGAUCCGAGCGUUAUCCGGAUUUAAUGGUGUUAAAGGGAGCGUAGAUGGGUUGUUAAGUCAGUUGGUAAAGUUGGGGGCUCAACCGGAAAAUUGCAAUUGAAACUGGCAGUCUUGAGUACAGUGGAGGUAGGCGGAAUUCGUGGUGUAGCGGUGAAAUGCAUAGAUAUCACGAAGAACUCCGAUUGCGAAGGCAGCGUACUAAACUGCCACUGACAUUGAGGCUCGAAAGUGUGGGUAUCAAACAGGAUUAGAUACCCCUGUAGUC